ACUCAAAAACGUACCAAAGUUGGCGCACAAAUCAAAAGCUGUGGGCCUGCAAAGACUAAAUGACAAUUAUGACCAUGCAUGUUUAGGGGCUCCAUAGCGCCCCUUAAUGCACGGAAUGUCUCAAUUUGGACAUAGUUGCUCUGAAAUUCAAAACACGUUUUGUCUCAUAAUUUCAGACAUAUUUAAAAUUUGCUUUCAUUAGCUCCGGCAACAGAAGUCAGCCAUUUAAAAUGUUAUACUACUUACUUCUUACUUAGGCCUUUAGAUUCCCAUAGGAACAUAGGCCAUUGACGAAGCUUUUCCAUCCUCUCCGGUCUUGGGCCCUCCGCUCCAGAUGUUGCCACGUCAGCCCUUCUUCAGCUCCUGUUCUGUGGUUCUGCUCCAGGUGGUUCUCGGUCUGCCUCUCUUCCUCCUGCCCUGUGGCUUCCAUGUCAGCGCUUGUUUAGUGAUUUCUUUCUUUCUCCUGAGUGUGUGCCCUAUCCACUUCCAUUUCCUCCUCUGGAUUUGCAUUUCUAUUGGGUCUUUUUUGGUGAGUUCCCACAGGUUGGUGUUAGAGAUGGUGUUGGGCCAGUAUAUUCCUAGGAGGCGUCUGAGGCACCGGUUGGUGAAGGUCUGCAGCUUAUUGAGUAUGUUGGUGGUAAUUCUCCGGGUUUUUGAGCCAUAAAGUAGAGUGGUCUUUAUGUUUGAGUUGAAGAUUUGCAGUUUGGUCUUGAGUGACAAGUUUUUUGCCUUCUAAUUGUUUAGCAUGUUGAAUGUUGUCCUUGCUUUUCCGAUCCUGGCAAGGACGUCGUCCUCCGUGCCACCUUCCCCUGAAAUGAUGCUACCAAGUUUUCCAGAUUUUUCCUGCAUCUGUUGGUGUGUGUGAGCCAGUAGUGCCAGAUCAUCAGUGAACUCAAGGUCUUCUAGCUGCUCGGUCAAGCUCCAUUACUUGCCGGUUCGUCUAUUGUUGGUUGUUUCUUUCAUCACCCAGUCUAUGCAGAGGAGGAAAAGAGAGGGUGAGAGUAGGCACCCUUGCCGCACACCAGUCAGGACCUCAAAUGCCUCCGAUAUACAUCCUUCAUAGAGAACUUGACAUCUCGUCCCUUGGUAGGUGCUCCUUAUGAUGUUGAUGAUCUUUGCUGGGAUCCCAUAAUGAGCCAUCAGUUUCCACAGCCUUUCCCUAUCCACACUGUCAAAGGCUUUUUCAAAAUCUAUGAAAUUCACAUAGACAGGCAAGUUCCAUACGAUGAACUGUUCAAUAAUAAUUCUGAGGGUGGCAAUUUGGUCUCCACAGGAUCUGUUGUUCCUGAAGUCAGCCUGGUUUUCCCUCAGUUUCUCAUUGACCCCCUUCUGGAGCCUCUCGAACAGGAUAUAUUAUUUAAGUGUUAUGGUCUCUUGUUAUUGUUUGGUAGUUAAACGUAUUUUGUCCUUUGUGGACUUUUCAUUUAAUGAUCUAUAUUUUACAAUUUAUUUUCACGGUCUGUAUUUUCUGUGACUGAAUGUGGUUUUAAAUCUGUUGAGGUCUGUUCAGACUGAAAGCAAAGACACUGAUGUUGUAAUACAAAGUCAGAAAAUAGAAAGCAAACAGCUGAUUUAUUAAUCUGACUUGUAGAAUAACGUCAAUGAUUCGAUUGUUUUAAUUGUUUUGGAAUGUGGAACAAUUUAAUGCCAUUAAAUGAAAUAAAACAAGGCCACACACA
Perca flavescens (yellow perch) is the source of this 1679-nucleotide long non-coding RNA. RefSeq lists it as uncharacterized. Lineage: Eukaryota; Metazoa; Chordata; Actinopteri; Perciformes; Percidae. The transcript has 2 exons. The record is from RefSeq and is a predicted model, not a curated record.